This 407-nucleotide ribosomal RNA is filed under the name uncultured bacterium. RNAcentral describes it as "partial 16S ribosomal RNA". It matches the Rfam family "Bacterial small subunit ribosomal RNA", at positions 30 to 526 of the family's 1533-position model. The record is from RNAcentral.
AUUGAACGCUGGCGGCAGGCCUAACACAUGCAAGUAGAACGCAGUUGCGAACGGGUGAGUAACGCGUCGGUAACUGCCUUAUAGCGGGGGAUAACUAUUGGAAACGAUAGCUAAUACCGCAUACUGUGAGCUGGAUCGGCGUUGUAUUAGCUAGUUGGAGAGGUAAAGGCUCACCAAGGCGACGAUACAUAGCCGACCUGAGAGGUUGAUCUGCCACACUGGGACUGAGACACGGCCCAGACUCCUACGGGAGGCAGCAGUGGGGAAUAUUCGACAAUGGACGGAAGUCUGACCGAGCAACGCCGCGUGAGUGAAGAAGGUUUUCGGGUCGUAAAGCACUGUUGUUAGAGAAGCGGUAUCUAAACAAGAAGCCACGGCUAACUACGUGCCAGCAGCCGCGGUAAUAC